GCAAGUUAAUAUUAGAUACGAGUAGUACCCUCCUUCUAAUCCCCCAUCACUAAGUGAUGGGGGAUAGUGAGAGGAACGAGCUGCCUAGAGAAAUCGAACAAGAAAUAAUGUAAUAGUAUCUAAAAUUAGACCCGAAGACUAGUGAUCUUACCUUUAUCAGGAUUAUAAAAGUCCGAACGGGUUAUCGUUGUAAAGAUAUCCGAGGAAUAAAGGUAAGUUAGUGAAAGACAAAACUGACUAGUUUAGCUGGUUUUCCGCGAAACCUAUAUAAGUAGGUAAUUUAAAUAACAUCUUAGCAGGUACAGAACUGUGAUCUCGGUCAAGCUAAGGGUUUUGAAAAGAGCCUGGACGUUUGUAUACAUCGGGGGAUCGUGAAGAUUUUAUCGGAGUGUAUUUGCUCUCGGAAGGGUUAAGAUGAAUUUUAAACAAUCGGACAUAGAGCGAUAAGGUUGUAUGUCUAAAGGGAAACAGCCCAGAACAAGAGUUAAUAAGGUUCCAAAAUUAUUGUUAAGUGAAAUAAAGGAUGUGCCUUUGAAUACAAUCAGGAAAUAGGCUUAGAAGCGGCCAUUUUUUGAAGAUCUCGUAACAGAGCACUGAUAAUUAUUAGAAGGAUUGCACCGAAAAUUUAACGGAUCUAAACAAUAUACCGAAACCUUGUCCAAAAUAAAAUAUUUAUGUUUAUUUUGGGGUAGCGGAACAUUGGAUAAAUAUAAGAUUAAAUCUUUUUAAGAUUUAAAAAUAAAUAUAAUCCAAGAGAGAAUGCUGAUAUGAGUAACGAAAAAGAAAUUAAAUAUUGCUCGCCUAAAGCUUAUGGUAGACACCGCUCAAAUUUACGGCCUCUAAAUUUUAGCUAAUUAAAUGAUGAGUAACUUUUGAGUAUUUAUAAUUUCACUUUACUGGGUAAUGUGGUUUUUUGAUUAAGCAGUCCAACUUAAACAAAACUAAAUAUAGUAAAUUUAGUUCAGGAAAUUUAAGCAGUUGGUAAGCUGAAAUUAAAAUAGUGAUAAGUGAGCCUUAUACAGAAACAUUAUCUGAACAAAUCUUUUUUUGUAUUAUAGCAAAAAAAAGUGGUUUGUUCUUUGUAUUAUAGCAAAAAAACGGAUUUUAUCUAUAACACGAUUCAAUCUAGAAUCAAGACAGGAAUAUUAGUCAACCUCGGCUUGCGAGGUAAAUCCUUGAAACCUGUAUUUCUGAGGUGUAAGAUGUAAAAAAAAUGAGAUAAUCACCUGUAGGUCCGUGAGCGGUAAAGUAAAAUGUUUUUAGAAAGAAAAUUAAUAUACCGUUCCUAAAUACUACCGCAAGUAAGCUAGUAGAGAAUACGAAGGCGUUUGAGUAAUCAAUCAUUAAGGAACUCGGCAAAUUGACUCACGUAACUUCGGGAUAAGGUGGGCCAUUCUCAUAAGGUUUAAUUAAUAAGCAUGAGAAGAGGAAGCAUGGAAUAGUGUUGUACGACUGUUUAAUUAAAACACAGCACUCUGCUAAGAUGUAAAUCGAAAUAUUGAGUGUGAUGUCUGCCCUGUGUCGGCUGGGUAACGGAUUUGCUUAGAACUAAAAGGUUAGGCUUUGAAGGAAACCCCGACAAACGGCGGCCUUACCGAUGAGGGUCCUAAGGUAGCGGAAUACCCUGGCCGUUAAAUGCGGUCUUGCAUGAAUGAUGUAACGAUACAACAGCUGUCUCGAUGAUUGGCUCAGUGAAAUUGGAAUAACUGUGCAGAUACAGUUUACCUCUAGAUAGACGAGAAGACCCUAUGCAGCUUUACUGUUACUAAUUUAGGCUAUAUUAUAAGAAUUUUAAGCGUAAAAGGUAGUUUUGGUGUUGAAAAAUCCAAUUGGAACUUCAUCAACCCCAUUUGGAUCCAACAGAUUGUAACUUAGUUUCCCCCUAAAAGGUCACUAUUUUAUUUAAACGACAAUGAAACACCUUUAUUUACUUUAUUAUAGUCGGUUGAUUGGAAGACAGUUUAUGCGGGGCACAGAUCCCACAAAAAGUACCUGGGUAUAUCCAAAAUUCUAAUAGUAAAAUCGCAUGUUUUAUUCUGCGAGAGAAAACGUGAAUAUUUACGUCAGAUCUGUUUUUUACUUUUAGUUUGCUAUUAAUUAAUAAAUAGAUAAAUAAUUAUUCAGUUACAAGUGUCUUAAAUACAAUUAUAAAAUUUAUUUAAGUAAGAUUUUAACUAUAUGGUAAAUAGUUGUAAAUAAAUAUUAAUAUUAUUGUCUCUAGAUGUAUUUGACCUUUUUGGCGGAAACAUUAGAGACAUUAUAUAUUAAUUUUUAUAUUUGUAAUAAAUUAGUAAGUUUAAGCAA
This 2304-nucleotide ribosomal RNA is filed under the name soil metagenome. Its description in RNAcentral is "bacterial LSU rRNA". The stretch from base 1 to 2065 matches the Rfam family "Bacterial large subunit ribosomal RNA", at positions 623 to 2925 of the family's 2925-position model. The record is from RNAcentral.